Molecule: long non-coding RNA, 959 nt
Filed under: Homo sapiens (human)
Lineage: Eukaryota; Metazoa; Chordata; Mammalia; Primates; Hominidae
Description: novel transcript
Source: RNAcentral
GUGACUCUUCUCUCCUGCUGAAGCCAUGCCCACACAAGGGAAAGUGACUUAUCACUGGGCCCAGCACACAGGUGGAUGGUGACUCUAAGACCAGGAUUCAACACAACUAGAAGGCUUUGACUCUAAUACGAGUCACAGAAGGCUCUGCGACUCUUCUAUUUUCUCUAGGUUAUGCAAAUGGAGGUGGAUUGUGACAUAUCAUAGGGCCAACACAACACACAGUCUACAGGUGGAAUUGGGACUCUCAUGCAUGGAUCCAGUUCAUCAUUGAUACUGUGACUCAGGUGGGAUUUUGACAUAUAACUGCACCCAGCACACAGGUGAGAUUGUGACUCUUGUAUGCUCAUCCUGCCAAAAGUUGAGUGUCACCCUCACACAUGGACAGAGACUUCUGUGGUCCAUUACAUUGAUGACAUUAUGCUGAUUGAAUCCAGUAAGCAAGAAAUAGCAAACACACCAGACUUAUUCAUGAGACGUUUGCAUGCCAGAGGAUGGAAAAUAAGUCUGACUAAAAUUUAGAGACCUUCUAGCUCAGUAAAACUUCCAGGGGUCCAGUGGUCCAAGGCCUGUCAAGAUAGUCCUUCUAAGGUAAAAGAUGCAGUGGCUCAUGCCUGUAAUCCCAGCACUUUCGGAGGCUGAGGUGGGCAGAUCAGGAGGUUAGGAGUUCGAGACCAGCCUGGCCAACAUGGUGAAAUGCCAUCUCUACUAAAAUUUUAAAAAAUUAGCUAGACGUGGUGGCAGGCACCUGUAAUCUCAGCUACAUGGGAGGUUGAGGCAGGAGAAUUGCUUGAAACUGGAAGGCAGGGGUUGCAGUGAGCUGAGAUCAGGCCACUGCAUUCCAGCCUGGACAACAAGAGUAAAACUCCAUCUCAAAAAAAUUUGUUUAUAUAUAUGUUUAUAUGAUUAUGUGUCAUUUUCUUGAGUCAUUUUAUUUUAAGUAAAAGAAACUGCCUUCAGCA